This 773-nucleotide ribosomal RNA is filed under the name uncultured Neocallimastigales. RNAcentral describes it as "partial large subunit ribosomal RNA". It matches the Rfam family "Eukaryotic large subunit ribosomal RNA", at positions 22 to 636 of the family's 3401-position model. Lineage: Eukaryota; Fungi; Neocallimastigomycota; Neocallimastigomycetes; Neocallimastigales. The record is from RNAcentral.
UACACGCUGUGACUAGCAUAUCAAUAAGCGGAGGAAAAGAAACUAACAAGGAUUCCCCUAGUAACGGCGAGUGAAGCGGGAAGAGCUCAAAUUUGAAAUCUUAAAGGGUUUCCCUUUACGAAUUGUAGUUUAAAGAAGUGUUUUCUGUUGAGGUUUUGGUAAAAGUUCUUUGGAAUAGGACAUCAUAGAGGGUGAGAAUCCCGUAUUUGACCUUUACUUUCAACUUUGUGAUACACUUUCAAAGAGUCGGAUUGUUUGGGAAUGCAGUCCAAAAUGGGUGGUAAAUUUCAUCUAAAGCUAAAUAUUGGCGAGAGACCGAUAGCGAACAAGUACCGUGAGGGAAAGAUGAAAAGAACUUUGAAAAGAGAGUUAAACAGUACGUGAAAUUGUCAAAAGGGAAGCGUUUGACACCAGUGUUGUUUUUCUGAAAAUCAAUUAAAGAACUGUUUAUGCUAAGUUGUUUAGACUUUAUCAGCUAUCUGUUUAGUUUUGAGCUUUUCUUUAAUGCACUUUUCAGUUAACAAGUCAACAUCAAUUUCUUUUGCUGUAAAAAAGCUUGAGGAAGGUGGCUUGAGAUUCGUCUUAAGUGUUUAUAGCCUCUUGCCUAUGCAGUCGGAGAGAUUGAGGUCUGCAGUGUAGAUCCUUCGGGGCUAAAUGCAUUUGUGCUAAGUUAUAGCAUUUUAUAGACAACUUGUUGACUAUGAUUUGUCUUGUAGCUUACUCGCUUAUGUUAUUUUACCUACGCUUAGGAUGUUGAUAUGCAUGACUGAUAU